GGAACGUGGUGUUUGCUUGCAACAUGCAGUUGAAAAUAAUAAUAUUCAUCAUGAUUUGGAUUUCAAAACACAUUUUCGUGUUUGCUCAAACUACCUCAGAGCUAUGUUAUAUGGAAUCUAUAACAAAAGGCAUGUUCAUACACCUAUUAAUGUCAAAAAUGGUUCUCUGACCUCUCCUUAGCACAUCACCGAGUCCCAAAAUUUCGGAAAUUAUCAAUAUCUCUGUGUAGAAAAGAACCCGUCCUGGAGCAUUGUAUUCAGCGAACACAAAUGCCUUGAAAAUUGCCACAUUCUAUUUUCAUCAGAACUUGAUUCGAUUUCACUGAAGCCAAAAUUUCGCGAGCCUGUUUUCGAUCCUCCGCAAAAGUUAGUUGACUGCUUCAAAGUUAAAAGAGAUGUGACUAUCACUUGCAGAUCCAGACUUGAAGGUCUUAAUUUAAGGCAAUUUAACGAUUUUUCGUUGAUUUACCUUUCAACUAUCGCAACAUCCAGGUUUGAAGCAGAAAAAUUUUGCAUGUCUCAUGGUCUAAAUUUUGACUUUGAGCAAGUGAAAAAUAUUGAGUUGGGUGUCAAUCAAAUCUGGGCUCCAUCAUUGCAAUAUUCUAAAUCAAAUCUCACCUGCUUCAUCUUUGUGAAGAAAUUCGGGACCUAUGUAAUGGAGCAGGAGAACUGUGGCAACAAAAAUGAGUUCGUGUGCAGCUUGCCUGAAGCGUGCCACACUACCUUUUGUAGUUCAAACAGGCAACAGCUGAAAGUCAAAAAGCAAAAAUGUUACCCCCGAUGUCCAAAACCAGACUGCAAUGACGAGGCA
Cloeon dipterum is the source of this 811-nucleotide long non-coding RNA. RefSeq lists it as uncharacterized. The transcript has 7 exons. NCBI's taxonomy places the organism in Eukaryota, Metazoa, Arthropoda, Insecta, Ephemeroptera, Baetidae. The record is from RefSeq and is a predicted model, not a curated record.